Molecule: long non-coding RNA, 755 nt
Organism: Mustela lutreola (European mink)
Lineage: Eukaryota; Metazoa; Chordata; Mammalia; Carnivora; Mustelidae
Exons: 6
Source: RefSeq, a predicted model, not a curated record
UAAUAGAAUGCCUGGGGAGGAGAGAAGGAAGGAAUUCUUCCUGAGGAAAGCUUUCAAGCUGAAGAUGAAUCUCAAGGGAGGUUAAAAUGCUUGCAUGGUGGUAAGCCCAGCCUCAAUCUUGAUUGGACUGCAACACCCUUGAGAAGACACAAUAAUGAAAUGGAAGAAACCUUACUCUCUACUUUAGACAGAUGCCAUGUUGAAUACAGGUGGACUGUUGUCCCUCCGUAAGCAAAUUGACUAUACAUCGCUUGCUAUUUGGAACUGAAUUAACAUGUUCAACACAUCACUGAGUAACGUGAAAGUCAUCUUCAUUAAAUGAGGGAAAUAUGGGUUGUCAUCCUAACUCAUCAGAGCAACAUUUCAUAGAACCAUAUGAAGACUAAUGCUAUGAUAAUGUGUCUAUUACAUGCUACCUUGAGGGGAAAAUCCAUUUAUGAUCCUGGACAUAUUUGAACCUUUCUAUGCCUUGCUGUCCAUGUGAAAAUGAAGAGUGUGGAACAAGGAGCAGGAGUUAUGCAGGGGAGGCUGAGGACCAUCCAGACCUUAUUCACUCGUCCUUCCCCUUCCACCCCAAGGAUGUCCAUACCCUACAGCCGCCAGCUUUAAUAAAGGAAAAUGCACAACAUCCAAUCACAUUUGAAUGUCAGAUAAACAAUGAAUAAUUUUAUAGCACAAGUGCUAUAGCACAAAUAAAUAUUUGUGACAUAUCUAUAAUAAAAUUAUUUGGUUUUUUAGAUGAAAUUCAAAUUUAA